CCGCCGGACACGCCGAACCGGGCACCGGCACGAGAGCCGGUACCCGGGCCGGGGACCCACCGCAGUCCUGGGGUGGAGCGCGAUCCGUCGCGCCGGGCGACUCCCCCGUCCGAACCCGUCAGCUAACCCGGUAGGCGGCCGUGGAGAACAGGA
Molecule: small RNA, 153 nt
Filed under: Geodermatophilus saharensis
Lineage: Bacteria; Bacillati; Actinomycetota; Actinomycetes; Geodermatophilales; Geodermatophilaceae
Description: c-di-AMP sequence
Rfam family: c-di-AMP riboswitch aptamer (ydaO/yuaA leader)
About the family: This family represents a conserved RNA structure found upstream of the ydaO and yuaA genes in Bacillus subtilis and related genes in other bacteria. The ydaO/yuaA element is thought to act as a genetic "off" switch for the ydaO and yuaA genes in its native state. It is believed that the element may be triggered during osmotic shock leading to activation of ydaO, a predicted amino acid transporter gene, and members of the yuaA-yubG operon which code for KtrA and KtrB K+ transporters.
Source: RNAcentral